UAUUUUGAGGGCAAUCUGGCUGCCACAUCUGUCACCCCAUUGAUCGCCAGGGUUGAUUCUGAUGAUCUGGCUGGCUAGGUGGGUGUCUUCUUCCUCCCCCACAGCUCCAUAUGCAUCCAACCUGAAGCUGCCCAAAUAGAAAUGACCGGUCUUCAGGUCAAAGGUAUAGGAGUAGCCGCGCUCCCCUGCUAGAACCUCCAAACAAGCUCUAGACAGAAUAGAAAGAGGUUAUUUUUUCCCCUGAGUUUCUUGCAUCUUUAUUGUUAUAAGUUCAAAACAGUU
Unclassified non-coding RNA from Erinaceus europaeus (western European hedgehog), 282 nucleotides. Its record names the gene 7SK. It matches the Rfam family "7SK RNA". Rfam says of the family: 7SK was discovered as an abundant small nuclear RNA in the mid-70s but a possible function has only recently been suggested. Two independent studies have found that 7SK RNA binds the CDK9/cyclin T complex (known as elongation factor P-TEFb). Lineage: Eukaryota; Metazoa; Chordata; Mammalia; Eulipotyphla; Erinaceidae. The record is from Ensembl.